RNAcentral lists this ribosomal RNA (253 nucleotides) under uncultured bacterium. Its description in RNAcentral is "partial 16S ribosomal RNA". It matches the Rfam family "Bacterial small subunit ribosomal RNA", at positions 524 to 776 of the family's 1533-position model. The record is from RNAcentral.
UACAGAGGGUGCGAGCGUUAAUCGGAAUUACUGGGCGUAAAGCGCGCGUAGGCGGCUUUGCAAGUCGAUUGUGAAAUCCCCAGGCUUAACCUGGGAACUGCAUUCGAGACUGCAUUGCUAGAGUAUGGGAGAGGGAAGUGGAAUUUCCGGUGUAGCGGUGAAAUGCGUAGAUAUCGGAAGGAACAUCAGUGGCGAAAGCGACUUCCUGGACCAAUACUGACGCUCAUGUGCGAAAGCGUGGGGAGCAAACAGG